UACGUAGGGUGCGAGCGUUGUCCGGAAUUAUUGGGCGUAAAGAGCUUGUAGGUGGUUUGUCGCGUCUGCUGUGAAAAUCCGGGGCUCAACCCCGGACUUGCAGUGGGUACGGGCAGACUAGAGUGUGGUAGGGGAGACUGGAAUUCCUGGUGUAGCGGUGGAAUGCGCAGAUAUCAGGAGGAACACCGAUGGCGAAGGCAGGUCUCUGGGCAUUAACUGACGCUGAGGAGCGAAAGCAUGGGGAGCGAACAGG
Molecule: ribosomal RNA, 253 nt
Filed under: uncultured bacterium
Lineage: Bacteria
Description: partial 16S ribosomal RNA
Rfam family: Bacterial small subunit ribosomal RNA
Source: RNAcentral